This 95-nucleotide microRNA precursor is filed under the name Tursiops truncatus (common bottlenose dolphin). Its description in RNAcentral is "microRNA 569 (ENSTTRG00000021573.1)". It matches the Rfam family "mir-569 microRNA precursor family". Lineage: Eukaryota; Metazoa; Chordata; Mammalia; Artiodactyla; Delphinidae. The record is from RNAcentral.
GGUAUUGUUAGAUUAAUUUGUGGGACAUUAACUACAGCGUCAGCAGCAACGUCAACUUUAGUUAAUGAAUCCUGGCGAGUUAAGUAACUUGAUUU